GGGAGGUGCACUGCUGUUCUCAAUUCAUCUGAUUAUCACUACAAAAUGACAACACCUUUCAACAAUUUGAGGAGUGCGGUAAUAUUUUACAGCAACACUUAUGCGUUCUUAAGGCAGAUGGCCUGAGAUUUGAUCUACAAUAUUUAUACAGAGGAGUUCUUGCCUCACUUGGUGACUCCAAAGUUCCCAGGUCCUUUGUCUGCAAAACAAGCCCAAAUCAUCACCCCUCCACCACCGUGUUUGACAUCUGACCCUGUCGCACAGUCCAGUUGGGAGGAGGAAAGAUGACUUUGUCUGGCCGAGAAACACUGCAAACGGCACAGUCACAAGGUUAUCUUGGCUGGAAUGAAGUAUAAAUUGACAGGAAAUGUAGUGAAAGAGAUCAGGGGAAUGGCAUGCACCAAAGGUCCAGAUGGCCAUCUGAACUAGUUGUAUUUGAUGAGAAGCUAGAAUGAGACUCAAGAGAAAGAUUCAGAAAGCAGGGAAAAGGCUCGUUGCUACCACUUUUUUACCCCUCCUGGAUAACGUGAUAUAAUUUACAUGAUAUCACGGGACACUAAGAUUUCUAACUGGUUGUAAACCUUUACCACGUCACUGUACUUCUGUUCUCUGGCUGACUGCUUCCCACUGGCCUUACACAGUAUACGGUAUACACGGUAUAAUUUUAUCUAUAAAUCUAUUUGUGGUUUACUCCCCUCUUAUUUAUCAGAUUCUUACAGAACUUGGAAAGAAGGCAUUCUUGUUUUCUGCCAAUCCUCAUUGAAUGCAUUACAGAAGGACUCGCAGCUCUCUCAGUUAAAUCAUCACUAUGUGAACUUGUUCCUGUUUUUGAAAUGACUGUGUAAACAUUAGGCUAUUCUUUGUUGUCGCAAUUUUAUUAUUGUUGUAAUUUUAAUGUUUGUCUGAAACAGGUCUCUCUUGUAAAUGAUACAUUGAGUCUCAGUGGGAGAGAGACUCUGUAUAAAUAAAGGUCAAAUAAAA
Oreochromis niloticus (Nile tilapia) is the source of this 981-nucleotide long non-coding RNA. RefSeq lists it as uncharacterized. The record is from RefSeq and is a predicted model, not a curated record. NCBI's taxonomy places the organism in Eukaryota, Metazoa, Chordata, Actinopteri, Cichliformes, Cichlidae. The transcript is spliced from 5 exons.